GUUCCUCCUCCCCUCUUUUCCCUCCCCUUUCCCUCUCUUCGGAGAGUAUGCCUGUUUGAGGUUCAGCCUAAGAAAAAACAACGUAUUCGCUGUUUCGCGGUUACAUUCGUCUGAGAUUGGUGCGUCUUAAACCUUUUGUUGUUUUAAGCGGCUUAAAAUUUUCUUUACUAUUCCACUAACGUUGCUAAGAUUUUACUUCUAACACUCUUUUAAUGUUUCGAUCUUUUUUAGAGUUGCCCUUU
RNAcentral lists this unclassified non-coding RNA (242 nucleotides) under Glomus sp. RNAcentral's name for it is "partial internal transcribed spacer 2". The record is from RNAcentral. Lineage: Eukaryota; Fungi; Glomeromycota; Glomeromycetes; Glomerales; Glomeraceae.